UUGACCUCAAAUCGGGUGAGACUACCCGCUGAACUUAAGCAUAUCAAUAAGCGGAGGAAAAGAACUAACAAGGAUUCCCCUAGUAACUGCGAGU
This 94-nucleotide ribosomal RNA is filed under the name uncultured ectomycorrhiza (Lactarius pseudomucidus). RNAcentral describes it as "partial 28S ribosomal RNA". It matches the Rfam family "Eukaryotic large subunit ribosomal RNA", at positions 1 to 94 of the family's 3401-position model. Lineage: Eukaryota; Fungi; Basidiomycota; Agaricomycetes; Russulales; Russulaceae. The record is from RNAcentral.